RNAcentral lists this ribosomal RNA (1320 nucleotides) under Triticum aestivum (bread wheat). RNAcentral describes it as "partial small subunit ribosomal RNA". The record is from RNAcentral. Lineage: Eukaryota; Viridiplantae; Streptophyta; Magnoliopsida; Poales; Poaceae.
AUGGCUGCGGCGGCGAAUCCUAGGGUCACGGGCGCGGCUCCCGCGCCCCUGCUGCUCCCUCCACGCCUCCUCGGAAGGAGCCGCGGCCGGCGCGGGACGUUGCUCGCCGCCGCCCUCCGAGGCGCGCCGUCGGGAGCCGAGCCACCGACAGGGUCCCAGCGCGGAGCAGCGCUGUUGGCGGGCGUGCCCUGGCCAACCACGGCACGGAGACGGCGCCGUCCGGCCGGCGAAGCGGCUCUGCCUGCACCGGCGCUCGCCCUGACGCCUUCCGCGCGGCGGCCUCUUCUUCUUCCACUCCGCCAUAGAUUCUUGUGUUGUACGAAUGCGGCCACCUCAAAUGACGCCGAAGCGUCGCCUUCGCCUGAUGGCGGCAAGAACCCGUUGGCCCCGCUCGUCGAGCUGUGGCGCCGGACGGUGCAACCGCUGGGGGAUUACGGAUUCGGGAAGCGCAGCGUGUGGGAAGGCGGCGUGGGACUCUUCAUGGUCUCCGCGGCGGUCCUGCUGGCGCUCGCGCUCGCGUGGCUCCGGGGGUUCCAGCUGCGGUCGCGUUUCCGUAAGUACAACGCCGUGUUCGAGUUCAGCCAGGCGUGCGGAAUUUGCGUGGGCACGCCCCUCAGGAUACGUGGGGUCACCGUUGGGAGCGUCGUCCGUGUCGACUCUUCGCUCAGGAGUAUUGAUGCAUAUGUUGAGGUUGAAGAUGAUAAAAUUAUUGUGCCACGUAAUUCAUUGGUUGAGGUUAAUCAGUCUGGUCUUUUAAUGGAGACAAUGAUUGAUAUCACACCAAAAGAUCCACUUCCUGCACCUUCAGUUGGUCCACUUGAUGCAGACUGUUCCAAAGAAGGUUUAAUCCUCUGUGACAAGGAGAGAAUGAAAGGACAUCAAGGAGUAAGCUUAGAUGCACUGGUUGGUAUAUUUACCCGUCUAGGAAGAGACAUGGAGGAAAUUGGUGUUCAAAAAAGCUUCAAAUUGGCAGAGAAGGUUGCAUCUAUAAUGGAAGAAGCACAACCUCUCCUUUCACGGAUUGAAGCAUUGGCUGAAGAAGUUCAACCUUUGCUCUCGGAGGUGCGUGAUAGUGAUCUGGUGAAGGAUGUGGAAACCAUAGCUAAAGGUCUGGCUGAGGCAUCCGGCGAUUUAAGAAGGUUGAAGUCUUCCAUGCUUACCCCUGAGAACAGUGAUUUAAUCAAGCAGUCUAUUUUCACCCUUAUAUUUACUUUGAAGAACAUUGAGAGCAUCAGCUCAGACAUCUCUAGUUUCACUGGCGAUGAGGCGACACGACAGAACAUCAAGCUGCUGAUCAAGUCCCUUAGCAGACUAUUGUGA